Molecule: unclassified non-coding RNA, 645 nt
Filed under: Hevea brasiliensis (rubber tree)
Lineage: Eukaryota; Viridiplantae; Streptophyta; Magnoliopsida; Malpighiales; Euphorbiaceae
Source: RNAcentral
AAAAUAAUAAUUGUGACAUCAUGAUAAUGUUAUAUUGUUGAGUCAAUUAAUUAAGCUACUCAAAUCAACAAAAACUAGAAGGGUAAUUUAAAAAAAUAAAAAACUUUUAAGCUAUAAAGUUGCUUUAUUCUUCUAUAAUGUUCCUUUUUCUUUUUUCUUUUCUUAAAAGAAAUAUACCUUACCCUUUGUUUGCACAACAUUUGCCUUCUAAACAGAUACUUUUGAGCACCACUGUUGCUUUAUUUGGAAUCAUUUGUGCAAUUCUUGGAGCAUACACUUCUUUGUCAGAAAUUGUCAAGCAGUAUUAAAUAAAAUUUAUAUUAUUUAAAUGGAUUUCUUUAUCCUUUAGCAGGAAACUGAAUCUUUUGAUGUGGAAGUUGAAGUUCAUUAAUUUUAUUAUAUAUUAGCCUUCAAGGAAUUGUAUUGAACAUGGAUUUUCCUUCAUGUAAAACCAGAUUGUAACAGUGCUGAGUAUUGUCUAGCUCAAAAAGCUUCUCUUUCUUUCUUUACAUGGGACUCACUACAAUCAACAAUUGUACAUGUAUCAUUUUAUGAUAUAAUUUUUCUCCAACUAUACUUUGAAUUUGGCUCUUUGCCCUCUUAAUUUAUCAAUACAUAUCUAUCUUCGAUAACAUAUAUAUGUGU